UGAGUCACCAGUUGGGCUCUGGCUGUGCUUCCUGCUGGUGUCUGUGCCACCAACACGGAGUAAAUGAAGCCUCCACCUGGAACUAAAGGCAGCUGAGUCCUUCCGGGAGGGACGGGCACCUCUGCUUUCCAUGUGAAGCCACAGCUUGGAGACCCUAGUGACCCCCCUCACCUCUCACACCCAAGCCCAGGCCCAGGUCAGGGCUCCUCAGGGACCCUGCGUCCCUGUGAGGUAAGCGAUCUGGGAGGUGUCGCUAGCAGCACUUUGGAACUUGGGCCCAGCCAGGUGGAGAAACUGAGGCAGGCAGCUCCUUAUUCACAGGCAUUUGUGUCUUCUGAAUAUGUCCACGCUGCCCCUCCUCGACACCCCAUCUCCCACACUGGUCCUCCCACCUUCUCUUAGACCGUGAUCAUGUCCCCUGCUUACCCUGGGUACCCCUCCAAAAGCCAGAGGUGGCUUUUGUUGUUUUGCUGGUAGUUGGGGUUGAACCCAGGGCCUCAUGCAAGCCAGGCCACAGAGUUCUUUAAAAACAUAAAUCAUAGCCAGGCAUGGUGGUGCAUGCCUGUAAUCACAGCACUUGGGAGGCUGAGGCAGGAGGAUCACCAGACUACAUACUGAGUUCAAGGUCAGCCUGAACUACAUAUAAGACCCUGUCUCAAACCAAACCACACCAAAAGCCGUGAGUUCA
Molecule: long non-coding RNA, 688 nt
Filed under: Cavia porcellus (domestic guinea pig)
Lineage: Eukaryota; Metazoa; Chordata; Mammalia; Rodentia; Caviidae
Description: lncRNA (ENSCPOG00000030025.1)
Source: RNAcentral